This 385-nucleotide ribosomal RNA is filed under the name marine Metazoa environmental sample. RNAcentral's name for it is "SSU rRNA". It matches the Rfam family "Eukaryotic small subunit ribosomal RNA", at positions 587 to 972 of the family's 1831-position model. The record is from RNAcentral. Lineage: Eukaryota; Metazoa.
AGCUCCAAUAGCGUAUACUAAAGUUGUUGCGGUUAAAAAGCUCGUAGUUGAAUCUAGGAGUGUGAGCGCGCGGUCACUCGAAAGAGCGUACUGUGCGGCGCACUCUUCUCUGCGGUUGCGCGUGUAUGUGCUCUUAACUGAGUGCAUCACUCGACUGCAAAAUUUACCUUGAAAAAAUUAGAGUGUUCAAAGCAGGCCUGUUUUGCCUGUAUAUUCGUGCAUGGAAUAAUAAAAUAUGAAUUCGGUUCUAUUUUAUUGGUUUUCGGAACUCGAGUUAAUGAUUAAGAGGGACAGACGGGGGCAUCCGUACUCUGCCGUUAGAGGUGAAAUUCUUGGAUCGGCGGAAGACGCGCAACUGCGAAAGCAUUUGCCAAGAAUGUUUUCU